GAUAACACUUGGAAACAGGUGCUAAUACCGUAUAACAACAAAAUCCGCAUGGAUUUUGUUUGAAAGGUGGCUUCGGCUAUCACUUCUGGAUGAUCCCGCGGCGUAUUAGUUAGUUGGUGAGGUAAAGGCCCACCAAGACGAUGAUACGUAGCCGACCUGAGAGGGUAAUCGGCCACAUUGGGACUGAGACACGGCCCAAACUCCUACGGGAGGCAGCAGUAGGGAAUCUUCCACAAUGGACGAAAGUCUGAUGGAGCAAUGCCGCGUGAGUGAAGAAGGGUUUCGGCUCGUAAAACUCUGUUGUUAAAGAAGAACACCUUUGAGAGUAACUGUUCAAGGGUUGACGGUAUUUAACCAGAAAGCCACGGCUAACUACGUGCCAGCAGCCGCGGUAAUACGUAGGUGGCAAGCGUUGUCCGGAUUUAUUGGGCGUAAAGCGAGCGCAGGCGGUUUUUUAAGUCUGAUGUG
This 468-nucleotide ribosomal RNA is filed under the name Levilactobacillus brevis. RNAcentral's name for it is "bacterial SSU rRNA". It matches the Rfam family "Bacterial small subunit ribosomal RNA", at positions 142 to 596 of the family's 1533-position model. Lineage: Bacteria; Bacillati; Bacillota; Bacilli; Lactobacillales; Lactobacillaceae. The record is from RNAcentral.